AAAUGGGAGGACAGUCCGGCUGCAUGUCUUGUCAUCCCAUUGAUCACCAGAGUGAUUUGGUUGAUCCCGUGACUAUCUGGGUACCCCUUUCCUCUGCCGUUCCAUGUGCAUCUCUCCCAAAGCUCAGCCGAAGAGACACAGCCCGUUGUAUGAGCAGCUGUGCUCCCCUGCCAGAACCUCCAACCAAGUGCACAAGAUAGUCAAACGCGGUAGUACAGUGGUCAGAGCACUUGCUUUGCACAUAACCAACCCAGGUU
This is an unclassified non-coding RNA of Sorex araneus (European shrew), 257 nucleotides long. Its record names the gene 7SK. It matches the Rfam family "7SK RNA". From Rfam's summary of the family: 7SK was discovered as an abundant small nuclear RNA in the mid-70s but a possible function has only recently been suggested. Two independent studies have found that 7SK RNA binds the CDK9/cyclin T complex (known as elongation factor P-TEFb). P-TEFb activates transcription by phosphorylating the C-terminal domain of RNA polymerase II. NCBI's taxonomy places the organism in Eukaryota, Metazoa, Chordata, Mammalia, Eulipotyphla, Soricidae. The record is from Ensembl.